ACUCCUACGGGAGGCAGCAGUGGGGAAUAUUGCACAAUGGGGGAAACCCCCGAUGCAGCCAUGCCGCGUGUGUGAAGAAGGCCUUCGGGUUGUAAAGCACUUUCAGUAGGGAGGAAGGUAGUGUAGUUAACACCUGCACUAUUUGUACGUUACCUACAGAAGAAGCACCGGCUAACUCCGUGCCAGCAGCCGCGGCAAUACGGAGGGUGCGAGCGUUAAUCGGAAUUACUGGGCGUAAAGCGCAUGCAGGCGGCCUGUUAAGUCAGAUGUGAAAGCCCGGGGCUUAACCUCGGAAUUGCAUUUGAAACUGGCAGGCUAGAGUCUUGUAGAGGGGUUAGAAUUUCAGGUGUAG
This 352-nucleotide ribosomal RNA is filed under the name uncultured bacterium. RNAcentral describes it as "bacterial SSU rRNA". It matches the Rfam family "Bacterial small subunit ribosomal RNA", at positions 335 to 678 of the family's 1533-position model. The record is from RNAcentral.